Long non-coding RNA from Mus musculus (house mouse), 4286 nucleotides. RefSeq annotates it as predicted gene, 38808. Lineage: Eukaryota; Metazoa; Chordata; Mammalia; Rodentia; Muridae. The transcript has 3 exons. The record is from RefSeq and is a predicted model, not a curated record.
UGAGACAGUAUCAAAAGGACCUGAUGGAUAGAAGAGGCCAGCAGGAAUGAAGGAGAACAGUUAUUCUAAAUCCUCAGUGUUCCCUGCAGCGUCUGACCGGUUGGGGCUGUUUUGAAAUCCCACAGAAGCGGUGAGUCCCUCUCAUUAUCCCACCACUGGGCAGCAAACAGCCCCCAUUGCUCCUCACAGAUCUGCCCUGUUGUGGCUCCUGGCACAUCAUGAACUCGUCUUAUGGAAGUAACACAGAUGGGAUCAGUAAAACCUUCCUCCUUGUUGAAGUCUAGUCACUAUGGCUCAAGUGACAGAAGGAGCCAUGAGAUUUCCACAGGAUUCUCAUAGGCAGAGUAGAGAGUCAGGUGCAAUGACCAAAACCAAAAUGCUGGCAGAAGACAAAAGAGAGCCAAAACUCCAGAGUGUGGUAUCCCGAGCUUUUGUUCCCACCGGAAAGAACACGCUCAGGACAACCGGAAUCUUCUGCGGCAAAAGCUUUAUUGCUUACUUCUUCAGGAGCAAGCGAGAGAAUGGCAAAACCCCGUCCCUUUUAAGGAGAAUUAUCCUCUGCCUAGGACGUGUAGCUCCCUGAUUGGCUGCAGCCCAUUGGCCGAGUUGUCGUCAUGGGGAAGGCAGAGCACAUGGAGUGGAGAACUACCCCGGCACAUGCGCAGAUUAUUUGUUUACUACUUAGAACACAGGAUGUCAGUGCCAUCUUGUAAUGGCGAAUGUGAGGGCGGCUCCCCACAGUGUGGACCCACAGUGGCCAACACCAGAUCCACUUCUGAGCAACAGAGCCUAGAGAAGCAUGGCUGCUGGGGACCUUUACAGAAACUCCUACCCCACCAAAGGAAGAACAGGAAGAAUAGGACCAGACUAGGAAGAGAAAUCCCAAGCCUUCCAGAUGAAAGAGCAUCUAGGAAGUCUGCGUUAGUCAUGAUGCCCCUUCACAUUAGCUACUCUUUUGCCCUUGUAUCCGUGUUUGAGACCGGAAGCCAGUUGUGCUUUCAAACGUCCUCUGCAGCUCGUAUCACUGUAGGUUUAAGCUUCUCAGAGACAGCCUGGCUAAGCCAGUGAGAAAGGGUACCCUACAGCUCAGGCAAGGGUCUUUCCUACAGUAUUCAAAGCCGCAUCUUUUUAUGAAAACAAAUUACUGCUUUAAAGGAACAUUCUGCAUUUAGAGCAGAGCACUUCUAAAGACCACAAGAAUAAAUUAAACAAAAUGUUGAAAAGGUAGACGCUAACAUUUAUUAAGGACUGGCAAACAGGUCAGCGGUUAAAGGCGCUCAUUUUCCUAGCCUGAGUAACUCAGUUUGAUCCCCAGAACUCUAGGAAGAAGGCGAGAACCAACUCCUCUAAGUUGUCCUCUGACCUUAACACAUACCCCGUGGCAUGUAAAUGCACACACAUGCACACACAUGCACACGUAUACCAAUAGAUAAAAAAUAUUAAAUUACAUGUGAUCCCACUCAAGUUGUAAUCUGAGAUGGCUGCUUGCAUUUAUAUAAAGCAAAACAGGCUAAAAAUAAUUCUAGUACAACUUCUAUUUCCUACAUUUGUGUAAAAGCUACGGGUUAUUUUAACUAAACAUCUGGUCUUCGUCCCUCAUGGUAAAAACCCCGAAUUUUCUUGAGUCUUUGGCAAGAGGUACCAGAACCCCAUGCCAAGCCAGUAAAAAUCACACAUUCUUCCCAAGAGGAAAAAAAUGUCAAUAAAAUGAAACACUGAAAAAAAUGUCAAAGCUCAACUAGGAGAGCUGCAGUGGCUGCCUCCUAAUCAGCCUUGCAAAUUGUUUUAAAUUUUUUACAUUCCACUACUUGGAAGAUCUAAUACUGGAGGUUUAUUCAAUAUAUUGCUCUUCAAAAAAAAUCUCCUUCCAACAUGGGCAUUCAGCCCAUUAUUCAGGUGCCUAGAAUAAAUCACGUGAAUUAAUUUUUAUAAAUAUUUAAUGUCUGUUCUUGCAUCGUACAAAUUGAUUCUUUAGGUUACUUCAAAUAGAGUUGAAUUUCGACAUUUCUCACUACAUGGAGAAAUAAUCUUGGUCUCACACUCGCCUUAGCACCUGCCAGGGUCUGGCACUGGCAUCUGUCAUAGAGAAAGCUGAGAAAUAAAUACAGUCUUGCCAUCAACAUAUGACAAGCUCAUUAUAACAAGAGACUCAUAAAUCUCAAAGCAAAGGGAGUACCUUUACAUAUUUAAAUAAUAAUUUUAUACAGUUUGUGUAUGGCGCUUUGGAACAAAGGCAGGUAUUUUUUCCUCUCUCUGCCAUAUAUAACAUUAAAAUGAAAUAUAGCAUAAUACCACCUCUCAACCUGCUCUAAAAGGGCCAAAAAGUUAACAGAUUUGCAAAAUACUUUGGUAACAUGAAACACAAAAUAGGAGUCUAAUACCCAUAAGCUCUUCUGUGUAACUCAGCAAUUGGAUUUUGCUUAGGUAGGAAGAAAUAAACAUUGGAGAAAGGCAAAUGGCCCAGAAUGAAAUGGCGAGAUUGGGGGUUAGGAACAGAGCUCCACUCCCAGGUUCCUUUGGGUGUUAAAAUUGGCCACCCUAGAGCAGACAUUUCUCAUAGCCUCAGGAAGCAUGCAGCUAUGAGUAAAGUAGGAUGCCCCUUCAACAUAGGGUUUAAAAUAUGUCCAACCCACAGCACACAAACAACUUCUUAUUCAAACACUUUACUAGAAGCCCAGAUAGAUCAGCCCUUUUAAACUCAGGUCACUUCAAUUCCCCUGGUAGGAAUUAUUUGUUCUCCAUUGACUACUACUUGCCAGGAGUAGAAAGUAUAGGCAUAGAAAGAUAGUAAGCAAAGAGCCAUCGCCACCCCAUGGGAGCCCCUGCAGCACUGUCAGGAAGCCAUCCUUGGGGCUGCGCCGAGCCUUUUGUGUGAAUAGAACAGAUUCCCAUCGACUCAGCAAGAUCCACUGGAGCAGAGUGAUCUUCUCAAGGUGUAUGAUUACUGCAACAGAGCAAACCUAGCGGAUUGACAGCAGAGCUCAGUGGCAGAACAUUUGACCAGGAUUCACAAAGUACUUACAAGCGUUCUUGGCAGGCAGUGAAUAUUUAAAACACUGCCUACUAUUGAGUACAAUGCUCAAACCUAGAGACAACAGCGCAAGCUGUACAGUAAGAUGUGGAAACAAAUGGAAGGGAGUAGCCAGGGCUGUCAUGGGAGAGUCUGGCUCAGAUUGCUGGAUGGAUGGUAAUGAAGGUACAAGUUACUAACUGUGGCUUAGCUCCAAUCUAUCUCCAGCACACGGUGUGAGGCCAUGGUGCCAACCCAGUUACACUCUUUCUUUUGAAGGAGGCACAUGGCGCUGGAAAGACUCUGGCUCCAGGGUCAUCUGCUCCUUAGUUUUCACAUCCAUGGCUGCCAUUUGUGCAUGUGAGGGAUACCAUGAUGCCCAGUGGAAAAUUCCCAGGAGUCUCACAGAUAUCCCAGUUUCUCACCUACACCCAGACUGUCUCAGGCUUGCUGUGUGGACAAACACUGCCCAGGGGAUGGUGGCAAAUUUCUCUGCCAUUUACAUCUUCUCCAAUGUGAUCUGAGACAGUUUGCUCUCUCUCUCUCCAUGUUCUGCCUCACCCCUAGCACAUGCAUUUUCCCUUUAAAAUUAAGCCUCUGGGAUGGGUGAAGUGAGUUAGAAGGUAAAGGCACUUGUUACCUGAGUGAUUCCCCAAGACCUGAACUGCAGCCAAGCUGUCAUCUGACCUCCAUGCAUGGGCUGCGACAUGAACACACACACACAAUUUUUUAAAAAAUUAAAUAGAACUUAAAAGUGAAACAUGUACCUGAAUAAUACAAGCUAGCAAGAAAAAAAAAAACUAAAUGUGUAUGUCUGUAUAUAUUAUCAAGAAAUCCCCAGAGUACUAAAUCUAUAUGCACAUAUGCAGUGGUGCAUUUCACUAAAGGUAUAGCCUAUAGCGUGGUUCUCUAUCUGUUAAAAUUCUUAAUGCUGAACAAAAACUAUGGUGAAAAACAGCCAACUUCCAUUUUAAUAGAGGCAAGCCUUGUUGGCCAAGUUCACGCCCUAGAAAAGGUGGAAGGCACCAGAUGGGGUUUCUAAAAUUGGAUUUGUGUCUAGUCCUUUUCAAGGAGUGUGGUGCAUUAACCAGGUCACCGGUUUCAGUUGUGCAUAAGGUAUUGGCACACUAUUAUAAUUGCACUCCAAACAUUGAAGCCUAAGCUGGUGGAGCAGAAGGGUAGUGAGUUACACAAGCUCCUCAGGAUGUCACCUAGAUUAACCUCUAACAUGUGUGCCAAUAACUCAUGUAUAGCUGAAACCAGAGACCUGCUUAGA